Molecule: transfer RNA, 75 nt
Filed under: Candidatus Lloydbacteria bacterium RIFCSPHIGHO2_01_FULL_54_11
Lineage: Bacteria; Candidatus Lloydiibacteriota
Also listed under: 3 other names
Description: tRNA-Arg
Rfam family: tRNA
About the family: Transfer RNA (tRNA) molecules are approximately 80 nucleotides in length.
Source: RNAcentral
CUCCUCGUCGUUCAAUGGAUAGGAUGCCUCCCUCCGAAGGAGGCGAUGUAGGUUCGAUUCCUACCGAGGGGACCA